GGUGCGAUGGUCGAGUGGUCUAAGACGACACGUUUAGGAGUGAUAAAUUCCGUGUUCCGCAAGGGCGUGGGUUCAAAUCCCACUCGCAUCA
RNAcentral lists this transfer RNA (91 nucleotides) under Naegleria gruberi. It matches the Rfam family "tRNA". From Rfam's summary of the family: Transfer RNA (tRNA) molecules are approximately 80 nucleotides in length. The record is from Rfam by way of RNAcentral. Lineage: Eukaryota; Heterolobosea; Eutetramitea; Acrasida; Naegleriidae.